This is a long non-coding RNA of Aricia agestis (brown argus), 455 nucleotides long. RefSeq lists it as uncharacterized. Lineage: Eukaryota; Metazoa; Arthropoda; Insecta; Lepidoptera; Lycaenidae. The transcript has 3 exons. The record is from RefSeq and is a predicted model, not a curated record.
UUAUUUUUAAAUACUCAAGCGUAAUGAUAACAACCAGAAUAAAUUGUAUUCUAACUCAUUUUGAACACAAUUGCAAUAAAUACCUUGGUGAUGCAUUUCAUUAUCCCGUAAUAUCUCCUUAAAUAUUUGUUUAAAUUUUGAUUCACUCGUAUGUGCCCUCAUAAUUUCUGUCUCUAUAAUAUCACUUGAAACGUAUAUUUACGAAAAAUAUAUUAAUAUAACCACAAAACACCGGUUACUUGACGCCAUAUUGUAAACAAAACGCACCUAGCGCCGCAGUGGCGAGCACUGAACUAAAUCAAUCAAACGGCGCUUUUGAAUUAGCUGUAGUGUUAAACGUUUUGGAGCGACGCUAAUAUUUAAUUAAAAAGCUAGACGUGUGAUUGAAUGGCGUUGUUCAGUAAAAGGGCUAGCUGUUUGAUUGAACGGCUAUUCAAACCAGGUGGCUGCGACAU